AGCAGCCGCGGUAAUUCCAGCUCCAAUAGCGUAUAUUAAAGUUGUUGCAGUUAAAAAGCUCGUAGUUGAACUUCGGGGUUUACCCAUUGGUCAGGCUUAAUUGUCUGUACUGGUGGGAUAAAUCUCUACCUUCUGAGGAACUUUCAUGUCAUUAAUUUGGUGUGAUUGGAAAUCAGGACUGUUACUUUGAAAAAUUGAGUGUUUAAAGCAGGCUAACGUCUGAAUACAUUAGCAUGGAAUAAUGAAAUAGGACGGACUGAUUCUAUUUCGUUGGUUUCUAGGAUCACCGUAAUGAUUAAUAGGGAUAGUUGGGGGCAUUAGUAUUCAAUUGUCAGAGGUGAAAUUCUUGGAUUUAUUGAAGACUAACUACUGCGAAAGCAUUUGCCAAGGAUGUUUUCAUUAAUCAAGACGAAAGUUAGGGGAUCGAAGACGAUCAGAUACCGUCGUAGUCUUAACCAUAAACUAUGCCGACUAGGGAUCGGACGAAGUUAAUUUAUAAUGACGCGUUCGGCACCUUACG
This 520-nucleotide ribosomal RNA is filed under the name uncultured Glomeromycotina. RNAcentral's name for it is "SSU rRNA". It matches the Rfam family "Eukaryotic small subunit ribosomal RNA", at positions 569 to 1092 of the family's 1831-position model. The record is from RNAcentral. Lineage: Eukaryota; Fungi; Glomeromycota.